UCACGUGCUGCCCGUCAGCGCCUUCCCGCCCCCUGCGAUGGCCACGCCCCCUGGUCCGCUGAGCGGCGGACGCUGAUUGGCUGGAGGGGCAUCCCCUCCUCCCUCGGGGCGAUGAGGGGCUGACGGAAAGUUUCCCUCUUUCGCCCCUCUCUUGCCUUUUUCUUGUUUUUUUUUUCUUCUUAAAGCAAGCUGUAUCAACGUUUAUCGUCAGCAGUAGAGCCUGCAAAUAAAAGUGCUAAUCUGCCUCAACAUCUUGUGCAGUGCGAAUGUUGGGAAACCAAGGGAAACAUCCAGAGCUGUUUCUAAUAAAGGGGAGCCAAGCCAGAGCUCCAGAGCACAUUUUAGCGUGACACCAUCGGGGUGAAAGGAGAGGUGGUGUUACGCUGCCAAGAGACCAGAACAACAUUGAAAUCUUAAGAUGAGCCACCUGUCGUGAGUUCUGGAAGGCUCUGGAGGACUACUGAUAGUUCAUGAUUUGGGUGGAGAUGUUUCUCCCCAAGCUGUUAUGCGAUGUGUGGGAUGGCUCGUGCAUCGCCUUCCUGCAAAUGAGUCUUCCAGGGAAAGGCUGCAAAGAAAACAGCAGAGAAAAUGAAUGGGAGUUGGACUAGAUGGCCCUUUAAAGAUCUGUUCCAAUUCAAAGGAUUCUCUGAUCUUGCUGGCUGUGGAUUUCAGUGGCUUUUGAACUCAACUCUGGAAAGUGACAAAGGUAGAGAAACCACACUCACAGGUAGUGACCUUUCAGCCUGCACAUGCUUUUUUUUGAAGUGCCAGUGUGACUUAGCCCAUUUACUUUUGUAAUAUGAAUAAAAUUGCUGGCUUUUAAAUGCCAAGAAAGGGUUUACACAGCCAUUAUUAAAAUACAGUGUUUCUGCUAUGACUUUGAAUUAGAAGCAUGUAAAACAGAACAGCAUAAAUAGAGACUGUCACGUGCUGCAAACUUAGAAGGUGGGAGCUUCCUGUGAUUGCCUCCCAUCCAUCCCAGACAUGCCACAGAAGGUCUCAUGUCCUGGGAUAAAGGAUAUCCUAUGGCAUCCUGCUGGACAUCAUUGACUUGGUUGUCUGUUGUGAUUUCACCAGACAUCAGACAUUAUUUGAGCACAGAUUUUCUCUUUUUGGAAUUCUUGCAGGUUAUGGCACUAAGUCUAUCUUCAGCAGUUUGUACAGUGUUUUGUUUUAGUGAGGCUUAACAUGAAGUGUCAUGCUGGCUGCAGCCUGCAUUUCAUGAGGACAGCACACUAAACUUCUGUUCUUUUUAGAUUGAAAACAAAGAGGACAUAUGUUAAAUGUGAUUGAUAGAGAACAGUAUGUAUACAUGUGGAAAAUAGGGAGAAAAUAAAAUGGAUAAAUAAAAAUAGAAGACUGCUGUCAGGGCAAGAAUUACUGCUACAGCUUGUCUCCAGAAGUGAAUGAAAAUAUGUCUGUCCUGUAAUCCUGGGGCUGGUAGGAAUCCAAGUGAGUGAUAAAUGUGGUUUGUCUGUUUUUUCUUACAGUCAGCAUCUCGGGACUUUGUUGAGGAAUACGGUCAGCAGGACCACAGCAGUUGGGGUUGUUGUUGUUGGAUUUGAAAUACAAGACUCAUCAGUGUAUUCAUUUCUCAUUGCACUGUUAUAUACUUAGUGGUUAGUAAAGCAUUUACCUCUGCUUUGAAUGUCAGGAUGCAACCACUGCAUUACUGGAAAUAAAUGUAAAGUACUUGGCAAAAAUGGGUAAAACUUAAGGGUCUGCAGAUGUCUGUUUUAGGGAAGCACAUCUGAAAUGUAGUAAAUGCCCAGAAAUGUCAGCAGAUCACCCUGCAUCAGUAGUGCUGAGCAUGAUGUAAUGAUGGGGCUUCUGAAGAGGUGCCAGGGGGAGUGUCCCACAGUUUGGGGUGGUGGCAAUGAAUGGAAGUAAAAAUAGCAGAUUAACUGAAAGGAAGAUGUAUUUGGUUCAAUUUGCAAACAUUUGUGUUCAUUUCCAAAGUGUCAUUUCAUCUGUGUGGCAAGUGUACAUGAAGUGUAAAGACAUGGUUGAUGUUUUAACAAGGAAAAUACGCCAUCCAAAGCUUAUUUGGAUAUUUCAUACCAUUACGUAAGGGUGCAAGAUAAGAAGUGAGAUGGGGGAGAGGUGAGAUGGGGCAGAAGGACAAAACCCUUCUCCUGGGCAGCUGAGACCCACCUGCUGUGCUGGGCAGGCUCUCAGAGAACACCAGGCAUCCCAUGAGAGAUGUAGGUUACAAAAGAAAAUGUGAUACCAAACAUCUUUUUGGUUUGUGGUUAACAUUAUGAACAAGAUUAUUCCUUUACUGUUUUACUGUUCAUCACCUAGACCUCCUCAAGUGUAUCCAACUUGUACCAACUGGAGAAACAGGGCUGAAGGACACACUCUUUCUUUUAAGUGACCUCCUCAAUACUGGAUGAAGGAUUUCACCACAGUUUUGCUGGUAGAGCGUCCUGUCCUGACAGAUACAAACAAUGUAAUUGUUGCUGGACUGCAGGAUCAUUAUGACUAAAAUUCAAAACGUGUCCUAGUUGCGUUCUCCUCCUUUUGUGAUAAUGUUUUCCACCUGGUGUAACUCCAACCAGUUGUCCCCCACCCACUAUGUUGUACAUUCAGCCACUGUACUUUUUUGUCAGAUAGAUGUUCUUUGGCACAGGAUCAGCUUUCUGAUGCCUGAUGUGAGCAGGCCUUUGCCACCCUGUGGGAUCCCAAACGCUGCCUGUCUCCAGAGCACAAGUUGUUGUGCCCUGACUGCUGGUCAGGUCAGGUCCUUUGGUCUUGAAGCACAUGCUGUGCUCUGGUUCAGUCUCUUGUGGGGACACUGGGGACACAGUGGUGCAGCCAUGCUGCAGAGCAGACCUGCUGUGAGCAAGCCAGACAGCAGCAGAGAGAACUUAUCCUGUGCCCUCUGGAUACAGCUUACUGAAAGUUUGAAUGUAGUUUAGUAAGAGGUCUGCUUGCUGUAGACAGGUCUCAAUGCAGAAGCCAAAUAAACAGAAACAUAACGAAUGACUUAUUUUCAAAUAAGAAGUUGAAGAAUUGUCCUUUUAGAAUUUUCUUCUUUAACCUGCAGAAGAACAAAAAUGACUUUUCUCUCACCUUCAGACAUGUGCAUAUGAUUUGAAGUCCUUGCAAGAAAUAGGAGCUGUUAAUCUGCAUCCCAGUACUGAGUUUUGAAGCCAUAUCCUUCCACAGCAUUUUCUCCACUGCUCAUGAAAAGUAAUUUGUCAGGAAAUAUAUUGUCCUAUUUUGUUUAUUUUCACCUUUGGCACAGGACUUUGAAGUAAAAAUAAUUAUUUUCCAGACAGUUUAAUUGAUUUGAAAAUUUCCUACAGUUAACUUAGUUCCUCUGCAGUUGUCUAUGUAUAGGUUUCAGAAUUAUUUAGAGAAUAAAAGAAGAAAAUGUGUUGACAGUUCCUUAGCCAUCUGCAGACAUAUCUGCAGUACAUAUCUGUAUAUUUUAGGUUUUUGUUUCUCACAAUAACUGAAGAAAAAUCUGAAUCCCCUUGCUAAAGUGAAGAUGUUCAUUAUGCUCCCUCAAAGCAUGUGGGAUCACUGUAGGUCUGUGGACUCUUCAAACACUAAGUUAACCUACUUGCUAAUUGAUUUGUUAAAUUCAUCCCCAUUUAGCAAAGAAGCAUUAGAAUGCUGCUUUUCCUGAAAUCUCAUCUUAAGCUCAGGCAAAACUGGGUCUCUCCUCAUACUUUGCUAAUUCCACCUCUCCCAACUUGGAUGGCCUUGUUUUGCAGAUUUGAGCAGCUCACGCAGAGAGCUCAGUGCAGGAGCAAAGGUCGCUUCCCCUGGCACAGUCUCUUUGUGAUGCUGGAAAUACAGGCUGGAGAUCAGUAAGCUGACCGUGUCUGCACAGCCCUGACACAGCUCUCAGAAUUGCUGCUCUUUCCAAUGAGCUUCCUGUGCACUUCCUUGUGGCCUCUCUCCAGGCUGCAUUUUCUUUUUCUUCUUUUAGUGCUUCUCUGCCAUUCCCUGCUGAGACCAUCAGCACCCAGGCUCUGCGCAGAUCGCCAAAGCCAUCUUGCAUAUAUGAGAUCAUCAACACCAGCAAUCAGUUGUGUAUUACGUAUUUUCAUCCACAGGUAACCUUAAAAUUUCCUUCUGUGCAGUAACUUUAUAAACAAGAUUUUACUCUGGUUUAGUGACAAUAAUGACUUUAACCAAAAAUAAUCACUUGAAACUUACACCUGUUUUAACAUUUCUCAUUUCUGCCUGAAGUAGCUCAACCUGAUUUCAAAGGUGCUCAUUUUAGCUCACAGCAUUCACUGCAGGGUCAAAUGUCUGGCAUUCAGAGAUACUCAGUCCUGCAAACAUUUUUUUCUGCCUUCCUCUGAUAUAUCUGAGUUACAGCAUGUAGGCUACACUUCAAGUCAGAGCUGUGCUGGGCAGUGGUGCUCUGAGCUGCACACUGUGCUGUGUGGAGGUUGGUGGUAGAGGCAGAAUUUAGCCAAGAUUGGUUGGCUUUAUCCCUCUGAGUGUGUUCCAGCAGUACUGUGUCUGCCUGUCAGUAUAUAAUCAUACUGAGCUAUUAUCCAGAAACUGUAGAUUGGCAGAAG
Long non-coding RNA from Phasianus colchicus (ring-necked pheasant), 4544 nucleotides. RefSeq lists it as uncharacterized. The record is from RefSeq and is a predicted model, not a curated record. Lineage: Eukaryota; Metazoa; Chordata; Aves; Galliformes; Phasianidae.